Molecule: ribosomal RNA, 253 nt
Filed under: uncultured bacterium
Lineage: Bacteria
Description: partial 16S ribosomal RNA
Rfam family: Bacterial small subunit ribosomal RNA
Source: RNAcentral
UACGUAGGUGGCAAGCGUUGUCCGGAUUUACUGGGCGUAAAGCGCGCGCAGGCGGUUCUUCAAGUCAGAGGUGAAAGCCCAGAGCUCAACUCUGGAAUGGCCUUUGAGACUAGAGGACUUGGGUACGGGAGAGGUGAGUGGAAUUCCGAGUGUAGAGGUGAAAUUCGUAGAUAUUCGGAAGAACACCAGUGGCGAAGGCGGCUCACUGGCCCGUUACCGACGCUCAGGCGCGACAGCGUGGGGAGCAAACAGG